This 253-nucleotide ribosomal RNA is filed under the name uncultured bacterium. RNAcentral describes it as "partial 16S ribosomal RNA". It matches the Rfam family "Bacterial small subunit ribosomal RNA", at positions 524 to 776 of the family's 1533-position model. The record is from RNAcentral.
UACAGAGGUCCCAAGCGUUGUUCGGAUUCACUGGGCGUAAAGGGUGCGUAGGCGGCCGGGUAAGUCUGAUGUGAAAUCCCGCAGCUUAACUGCGGAACUGCAUCGGAUACUCUCCGGCUAGAGGACUGGAGGGGAGACUGGAAUUCUCGGUGUAGCAGUGAAAUGCGUAGAUAUCGAGAGGAACACCAGUGGCGAAGGCGAGUCUCUGGACAUUUCCUAACGCUGAGGCACGAAAGCCAGGGGAGCAAACGGG